This is a non-coding RNA of Dermacentor andersoni, 3840 nucleotides long. NCBI's taxonomy places the organism in Eukaryota, Metazoa, Arthropoda, Arachnida, Ixodida, Ixodidae. The record is from RefSeq and is a predicted model, not a curated record.
GAAAAAAAAGAUGUCAAUUGGUUAUUAUUACAUGAACUAAUGAAUAUUGCGAAUGUGGCAAGCGCUUCAAUUCUAGUAAAAUGAUGUGAAAGAAAGAAAGAAAGAAAGAAAGAAAGGAAGGAAGGAAGAAAACACGGUUCUUCACACUGUUGGGCCCGAAGACUCGUGGUAAAGGUGUGAUGGCACUAUGUGGACAAUGUGGCAAUAUCUGACACAGACUGGUGGCCUUGUCUACUUUAACAAGUACAGUUAUUAUUGGUCCAUGCUGCCCUCCUCUGUACACAAGCAGAUGCAGCUACAUAAGUCUCAUUUGAGAUGAAAGUGACUGUUUACUAAAAAAAUAUGCUGGUGAAAGCCAAGCUAAUGUGCUUUGACAUUUUGUUUAUAAAACUCUGUAUUUCUCUGUGUGUACAUUCCACAUAAAAAACGAUUAAUGACAGCCCAUAUUUGAAAGACUAAUUUGGGUAUAUAUUUAUGAGGUAGAAAUGUGUAUGCCAUUGGGUAAGCUGAUUCAACAGUGCACAUCAUUCCUUGAUGGGCCAGUCCAGCAGGCAAUGCAAUGUGCUGAUGCAGGAUGAAGUGAAGGCUUUUUGUUACAGGUCAUUACGGUGGAGCGAUUGAUGCCAACUAAGUAGCCAGUGCUAGUAAAAAAGUUAAGACUAACUUAUUUGCAAUUGCAGAAGUGUACUCUAGUGAUAUUGCUCAACUUAAUAUUUGUUUUUAUAGUGUUGCUUUAAAAACAUAAGGGAUCGACCAAAGCUUUGAUAAUUGUGUGGGGUGACCAGAAUUAUGCACUACCAGAGUUUGACCGUAUGGAUGCAUCAUAUGUGGUUGAAUGCACAGCUAAACAAAGUUUUUGGUACACAGAAGUCACCAAACAUUUUUUCCUUGUGGUCUGGCUCAGUAGCCUAAAAUUGUUCAGUGCAGUGCUCAAGCAAAGAACAACAGGCUGCACUUUUCAGUUCCAUAAUUCAUGUAUUGGCUAAAGGUGCACUGACAUGUUUUGUAAACUUAUGCAACCAGGAGCACUAUGUGGAACACAGCAAAAAUAACACUUUGUCCUCUGGUGCAAUAAAACAUGACUGCUUUAGUUGGAAUUCAAGAUGGAAUGUCAGCACACUGCUUUUUAAACAUUUGAGUUUGUUUCCUGACAUAAUGAUGGCGCAACAGCACAAUAGACACAGGAAGAGCAAUAAGAACAUCUGUUAAGCAGGUAAAGUUAACUGUUACGAAUGAAGAAUUAUCAUCUGCAUAUUUUUUUGCAUCAGUUUACAAGUGUAAACUUUUUGUUGUUUUUGUGCUUUCUGUGUAAGCAUGUUUGUGCUAUGUGCUGGCUGCCACAUUCCAAGGCAAUUAAUUAUGCAUCAUGGAGAAGCCAUUUACGGUUUUGAUGGGGCUUGUUCAGAUACACAGCCAAGUACUGCUUACACGCAGGAAAAUAAAGAUAGUGGCCUCAUUGGUCAGUGCUAUAAAAUCAGCAAAACAAAUUAAAAAAAUGUGCCCCACAGCCUGCAAUAGUGCACAGAGCUCAUUCAAUGCAACUCCCAAUGAAAUCAGUGGCAUGCAGCCAGCUUCACAUACUUACAAUGUCCAACAUUUUCAUUUUCCAAGAAUCUCUAAAGAAAGAGGUAAGGUGCCUUCUCAAGUGAGGGUGCAUGGGCUAAUGGACUCAAUUUGAAAUCUAGGCUAACUUCCUUUAACUCUUGAACAGACCCUUCUCGAAACCGGAAUACCUUGAAUCACGAAUAAUUGAUACAAUCUCAAAGAUAACCCCAAACCAUGAUCCUUCCAGUUGCACAUAGAAGUGCAUGACAAAGUUAGAAGGUUAUAGUACUGCAGCAAUGUUUACAAGAUUUGCAUUAAUUUUGUCUUCUUUCUUUAAAGGAAGAACAGCUGAAACCACCCAUGGUACGGGGGACCAUCAUCACCACUGCUACUGCUGCACGUGGCAUGUGAAUGCGAAGUUUCUAGUAUGAUGCAUCACAUAACACCUAACUGCUGCUUAAAAGAUAUCACAUUGAGGCACGAGUAUCUGCUUUAAAGUCACCCAGAAAAUACUCAUCAAUUAUCGGAACUUUGUUAAAAGUGGGGGAGUAUUUUUUGCUGCAAGAAGCAUCCCUGCUGUAAACAAUGCUUCGGGAAUUGAAUCGCGGCACUGCGAUCCAUCUUUAGAUCUGUACUUGUCUGUCCAGAGACCCAAACUUCAGCUCUUGGUAAAAAUGGUGUGCUUGCCACUUCUCAAGUGGAACCUAUGGAUCUGACUACACUCAUGAACAAAAUUUCUGACUACGAAGUGAAGGCUACAAACUGAAGUGCAUGUGUGGAACCACUGCUGGAGACAGUCCCGCAAUUUUGUUUAUGAUGAAGAAAAUAAACGAGAUGAACGAAACGACACCAGCAGGUGUGUCCUUUUGCCUGCUCUGCUCGGUCGAGGUGCGCAUAUGAUGUGACAUCGUAGCCAACGGGAAUUUAGAUGCCAUUUUGCUGCAACGCAGGCCAACUUUCUCACUCAAAGCGCCAUUUAAUGCUUUUGCAUCAAAACAAAAACCAGUGCCACAUACACCAGAGACCAAUACUGUCCAUAAAGUGAGUCAUUUGUAAUAAUAAAUCUUAAUGGGAAAACAGAGAACAUUUACUGAUAAAAAAAAGUGGUGGUUUCAGUGCAUGGCACUGAUGCACUAGAAAGAAAUUUGAUAUAAUCUGAGCAACUUGAAGACCAUUAUGCUUGUCACCACUAUAUUAACAAAACUGCAAUGCAGUUAGAAGCACCGAGCGGAUAAUGAUGACUAUGAUGGCAAGCUUCAUGUUAAUGGAAUUCUCAGCAACAUAGCUUUGACUCAAAGUGAUACCAACAGAAAAGCAGUGAGAGCUACAGCUUCUUGACAAAGCUAGCAUGUAAGAGAAAAAGCUGCUGUGUCUUCGCUGGCUUCUGCACAUGAGGUGCCAGUAGAACAGAUUAAGAAUCUAGAAGGUCCGGUUUUUGUCUUAGCAUGUACACGUGAAAAAACACGAGUAUCUAAGCUACCAUGCAGCCGCCGCCUGCAUUUCGCCACCGGUAGGCGAGGGGCUUUUGGUUUAUUUCUUUCAGAGGAGCCCUUGUUCACAAUGAUCCUGUCUAUAUUGAUGAGACAAACUACACCAGCUUCUAAAGGCCUUACAACAUGUUUCUGCCCCGUCCAUUGUCCAGACAACAAGCUUCCAUAUUAACAAGGAGCAAAUUUAUUGGAAAAGUUUGGUGCCCACAAAAAUUAUCUAUAUUUUGAGGCAUUGAUAUUAAGAGGAAGCUCUAGCUCGGGCUCAACUUCAAUGCAACCUAUUCAAAUACAUGUAAAAUGCAGAAAUGCUUUCAUGAGAUAACUCUGCCAAUUUUAGUGAAAUUUGUUGCAUUUGAGAGAAACAGUUAAAUUCUAGUGACUGUUGGAAGCGAAAUUUUUAUUUAGAUCCUGAAUUUUUUAAAAGGAAUUCUCAACGUUCUGUACGUUCGAAAAAACAGAAGGGACAAGUUUACAAACUUGCAGCUCUGUACCAAGAACAGAUAUCUUAGUUCUGCAAACUGCAUCCAUGAGAGCAUCCAAAGCAGACAAAUUUGAUACAUGAAUUUAUAUCUUACGUGAAUUUGCUACAAUGUUUAUAAGAGUUUUGCAAAUGCCCUACUCACGUAUUAGUGGUAUAUGUGAGGGCCAUGUAUAAAUGCAUUAAUUUUGUCCUCGUUAGACGUACUAUUAGAUGCAGUUUACAGAAUUGUGAUAUCGUUUUUCAUCGCUGUAAACUUGACAGUAUAUUUACUGAACAUUUGCGAUAUUCAUCUAUCUUUAUUGAAAAAUUUAUGACCUAAAUCGA